GGGCACGACACCGGAGAGGGAGCCUGAGAAACGGCUACCACAUCCAAGGAUGGCAGCAGGCGCGCAAAUUACCCAAUCCCGACACGGGGAGGUAGUGACAAUAAAUAACAAUACGGGGUUCUUUUGGAUCUCGUAAUUGGAAUGAGUACAAUUUAAAUCUCUUAACGAGGAACAAUUGGAGGGCAAGUCUGGUGCCAGCAGCCGCGGUAAUUCCAGCUCCAAUAGCGUAUAUUAAAGUUGUUGCAGUUAAAAAGCUCGUAGUUGAAUUUCGGGGUCAGUAGGAUGGUCGUGCCAAUGGUAUGUACUGGCUUUACUGAUUCCUCCUUCUUGAAGAACUGUAAUGCCAUUAAUUUGGUGUUGCAGGGAAUCAGGACUGUUACUUUGAAAAAAUUAGAGUGUUUAAAGCAGGCUUACGCUUGAAUGCAUUAGCAUGGAAUAAUGAAAUAGGACGUUGAUCUUAUUUUGUUGGUUUCUAGGAU
This 479-nucleotide ribosomal RNA is filed under the name uncultured fungus. Its description in RNAcentral is "SSU rRNA". It matches the Rfam family "Eukaryotic small subunit ribosomal RNA", at positions 373 to 857 of the family's 1831-position model. Lineage: Eukaryota; Fungi. The record is from RNAcentral.